RNAcentral lists this long non-coding RNA (2121 nucleotides) under Anneissia japonica. RNAcentral describes it as "uncharacterized LOC117101312, transcript variant X1". The record is from RNAcentral. Lineage: Eukaryota; Metazoa; Echinodermata; Crinoidea; Comatulida; Comatulidae.
GGCCGAGUUGACUUGUGGCCGAGUUGACCUGCUUUCGGCCUACCCUAGGCCCUAGUCUAAAAAAGAUUUUUUCGGAAAAUCUGUGUGGAAAUUGGCCCUUAUUUUUCCAAUUGCGCGGACGGUUUUUAUGGUGUACAUGUGGAAACUGCGUCGUGGAAGAGAUGUGGGGAAAUCGUUCCUGUUGUCAAGAAAUUGAAAAGGUUAUGCAAAAAAACAAUGAAGAGCCAUACCACAAUGGAGCAUUACCACACAUCCUUGGUUUGAACCAGCCAUCUUAAAUCCUGCAACACUACAAAUUUCAUUUUGGCAGUAUGUUUCACAAUACUAGUAGCCUGUGACCGAAGGGGGAGUCGAAAGGCGUUACAGGUAUUCAGCCUAUCGGAAAUUUGUACGUUGGUGCUGGGGUUAUCUUGGCAAAGACAGGCGAGUGGUGAUGUCGUGUAAUGAAGUCCAUACAUGAGACAUUUCCUGAACCCAGUGCCAACUACACAGGGUUUAAAUAUCCUCCCCAGACAGGUGAAUUUUAGCUUCUCCUUUGACCAGAGGCUCCUCAUGCUGUAGCUAUGUUAAUGUAUUGCCAGUAUGAAUUACUAUGUCUGUGUUAAAUUUUAUCUAUUAAAAUUGUAUAUUUUAACAAUAAUUUAUUUUUGGUUAAUUACAAUGCAAUUCAACUAUAUAUAUAGAAUUCCCUGGAAUUGAGGUGUUUUUUGUUCAUAAAUAGGCCUAUACAAUCUGCAUAUCAUUCACUAUGGUUAUAAAAUAGACUGUGAAGCAUAAUUCCAAUAGCUUAUGAAUUACAGAGCAAACAAUACAGUGUAAGAUGUAAAAUUGUAUGAUUCAAUUUUCCUGAUGAUACUAGGCACCUAUUUAUUAACAAAAUUAAGGCAUUACACUAUACCAGGUUUUGUGUGCUUCGUAAUAGCAUAUUUAUUUUAGUAAUACAGUAUGUCCAACAACCUUAAAAACAAUAUGCAUGUCUUUUUUUUUUUCUUUUUUUUAAAUGUAAAUAGUAUUACUACUGUACUAUAUACUGUAUAAUUGCAAUUCAAUUAAAAUCAUUUACAAUUUGAUUAAUGAAAUACUUGUUUGAUUACUAUUGCAGUAUUCAUGCUACAAGAGACUCUCAUGAUAUGCCUGUAUUAUUUAACACUGACGAACUCUUAUUAUUUUUUCACAAAAUGGGACAACUUUUGCUAAGUACUGAAACAAAGUGAAGACACUUUUCACUAAUUUACAGUUAGAUUAUGAUUGCAGUAUUCAUGCUAAAGCAUGCUUUAUUUUAUCAUUAAAUGUAAAGAUUAGUACAUGUAAUAAUAAAUAUAAUUGUUAUCCAAUUUAAUUUGUUUAAAAAAUGAUUAAUGGUAAUUGCUUGUUUAUUGCAAUAACAGUAUUAUCAUUUCAAAAAACCCUUAUAUAUGAAUUAUCUUAGUAAAUAACAUAAUUGGUUAUAUAAAAUUAUUUUCCAUGAUUUUUUUCUACACAAAUUCAACACAUCAGAAUGCAAUUUAGUCACCAGAAACUACCUUUUGUUCUCUUUCCAAAAAAGAUAUAGAAACAUUUAAUAAGUGGGUAGAAUUUGUUAAUACAAUGUGGAAGAUGUUGUUUGGAAACAUGUCACAAGACAUUAGUAGGUAUUUAACUAUGCAAGAUAACAAGAACUACCUCAUAAGAAAUGUUUAAAGUACAAUCAGGUACAAACCAAAAGCUUUUUCAAAUAUUGAAGCCUAGGUUAAGGAUAAAGGCCUGUUUAUACUUCAAGGAUAACGAUCUUAUAACGUUUAUAGCACAGUAAUAUACUGCUGUACAAUAACAAUUUUCUGUAAAUGUGUGUGAAAUUAAGAACAAAAUAGAGCAAUGCUGGAAUCGGCAAAAAAUAAUAACAGUGAGCCUGGGCAUAAUUUGAAUGGUUCUUAUAAAAAAAAGUGUAACAUGGUCAUGUUACUGUAUGGCUAUACAGUAUUUAAUUUCUGUUGAAUCGGCUGAGUAAACUGGACACGACUAAUUUUUGUCUGGUUUCGGUAAUUUCCGAGCAAUUGUUCCCGGCUCGCACAUUAUUUCAGCAGUGUAAAAAACUCUUUCAUAUUACUUUUUGUCAUGUACAAAGCCAUUUCAAUUAUGUUC